This 469-nucleotide ribosomal RNA is filed under the name Turicibacter sanguinis. Its description in RNAcentral is "bacterial SSU rRNA". It matches the Rfam family "Bacterial small subunit ribosomal RNA", at positions 1069 to 1533 of the family's 1533-position model. Lineage: Bacteria; Bacillati; Bacillota; Erysipelotrichia; Erysipelotrichales; Turicibacteraceae. The record is from RNAcentral.
GAGAUGUUGGGUUAAGUCCCGCAACGAGCGCAACCCUUAUUGUUAGUUGCUACCAUUUAGUUGAGCACUCUAGCGAGACUGCCCGGGUUAACCGGGAGGAAGGUGGGGAUGACGUCAAAUCAUCAUGCCCCUUAUGUCUAGGGCUACACACGUGCUACAAUGGUCGGUACAAUGAGAUGCAACCUCGCGAGAGUGAGCAAAACUAUAAAACCGAUCUCAGUUCGGAUUGUAGGCUGAAACUCGCCUACAUGAAGCUGGAGUUGCUAGUAAUCGCGAAUCAGAAUGUCGCGGUGAAUACGUUCCCGGGCCUUGUACACACCGCCCGUCACACCAUGAGAGUUGGCAAUACCCAAAGUUCGUGAGCUAACCGCAAGGAGGCAGCGACCUAAGGUAGGGUCAGCGAUUGGGGUGAAGUCGUAACAAGGUAGCCGUAGGAGAACCUGCGGCUGGAUCACCUCCUUUCUAUGGA